RNAcentral lists this ribosomal RNA (1235 nucleotides) under metagenome. RNAcentral's name for it is "bacterial SSU rRNA". It matches the Rfam family "Bacterial small subunit ribosomal RNA", at positions 267 to 1498 of the family's 1533-position model. The record is from RNAcentral.
ACCAAGGCGAUAAUGGAUAGCUGGUCUGAGAGGACGAUCAGCCACAUUGGGACUGAGAUACGGCCCAGACUCCUACGGGAGGCAGCAGUGGGGAAUAUUGGACAAUGGACGAAAGUCCGAUCCAGCGACACCGCGUGGAGGAUGAAGGCUUUCGGGUUGUAAACUCCUUUUCUGGGGGAAGAAUAAGGUUGGGAGGAAAUGCCCAUCCGAUGACGGUACCCCAGGAAUAAGCAUCGGCAAACUUCGUGCCAGCAGCCGCGGUAAGACGAGGGAUGCAAGCGUUAUCCGGAAUUACUGGGCGUAAAGGGCGUCUAGGCGGUUGGAUAAGUCAUUUGUGAAAUCCCAGGGCUUAACCCUGGAAGGUCUUGUGAUACUGUCCGGCUUGGGUGUAGGAGAGGAGAGCGGAACUCACAGAGUAGCGGUGGAAUGCGUAGAUACUGUGAGGUACCCCGAUGGCGAAGGCAGCUCUCUGGCCUAUUACCGACGCUGAAGCGCGAAAGCGUGGGGAGCAAAGGGGAUUAGAUACCCCCGUAGUCCACGCCGCAAACGAUGUUCACUUGGUGUCGGGAGCCUAUAUAUCUCGGUGCCGGAGCUAACGCGUUAAGUGAACCGCCUGAGGAGUACGGCCGCAAGGCUAAAACUCAAGAGAAUUGACGGGUCCCCGCACAAGCGGUGGAGCACGUGGUUUAAUUCGAUGAUAAGCGAAGAACCUCACCUGGGCUUGACAUACUAGUGGUAAACCGGAAACGGUGAUGACCUUUCCUUCGGGUUAGGAGCUAGUACAGGUGAUGCAUGGCUGUCGUCAGCUCGUGUCGUGGGAUGUAGGGUUAAGUCCCGAAACGAGCGCAACCCUUGUCACUAGUUGCCAGCGGAUAAUGCCGGGGACUCUAGUGAGACUGCUGGUGAAUAGCCGGAGGAAGGCGGGGAUGACGUCAAGUCAUCAUGUCCCUUAUGCCCAGGGCGACACACAUGCUACAAUGGGAAGUACAAAGGGUUGCAAUACGGUAACGUGGAGCCAAUCUCAAAGAACUUCCCCCAGUUCGGAUUGUGGUCUGCAACUCGACCACAUGAAGCCGGAAUCGCUAGUAAUCGUGGGUCAGCCAUACCACGGUGAAUAUGUACUCGGGGAUUGUACACACCGCCCGUCACACCAACCGAGUGGGGGGUACCUGAAGUCGCUCUUUUGAGGGCGUCUAAGGUAACCUUCGCAAGAGGGGUGAAGUCGUAACAAGGUA